AAUUCAACUUUACAAUACACUUAUUUUCCACAGUCACUAACUUAAACACAUGCUAUAAUUCACAACGAACUAUUCACGCACUUUACAUACCGUGGUUAUCAGUGUCUAUAACUUCAGUCUCGCUCUCUGCUACUCCAGUUCCCAACGAUCAUCUCCUUUGUCUGGCGCACUUAUAUACAAUCUAAAACGCGCGCGUAGAACGCACUAGCGUCUUCGCGAAUCUUCUAGACACUAAUCACGUGUUACCAGAGUCACGUGACUUCCGCUGUCGUUACAGAGCCUUAUUUCAACAUGUGAAUCUGAAAUGUUAAAAUGCAAUUUAUGGUUUCAUUCCUCACUGUAGUCCUUAUUUUAACCAUUAAUUGUAUACUUUAUUUCUGUUCAAUAUCCCACACUAUUUUCAUUUUCGAUAAUUUCUUCAACAAUGGAUGGCAGCAAAUUUUACAGUGUAUAUUAAAACAAUCUUUUCAUUCAAUAAAUAAAGUAUCUGUCACUAGAAUAUAGGUACGGGAAUGAAUUCUGGUUAAGAAGUUAGCACAUAGAAUUACAUACAAAAGUUGUAAUUGUUUUCAAACGAGACCUAAAACUCGAGCACUUUAGAAUAGUUCACUAUUCUUCUUCAGGAGAAUAAAAGGAAUAAAGAUAAAGUGAUUAAAAAUCAGUCCAACUAACCUGACAUUUUAAACAAAUGAUAGAUUUAUAAAUGUUUCCAUACCAGUUUCUUUAUACAUGUAAAAACAUUAAGUAAUGAUUAUUUUAUUUUUAAUAGAUCUUUCUUGUAGACCUGGAGCUAGUAAGCCAUAAAGAUUACUGUUGCCAUGUGAUGACAUUUCAUUAUGAAAUACACUGUGGCUCCCAUACCUGUGAAUUUCAUUAGAGAUGGAAAGGCCCAACAUGUGCCCUGAUACUAAUACCAAAGGAAUGGAGAAGAGACCACAAUGGAUCUAGAUGAUUUGACACGAAUAUUGGCAAUCAUCAAAUAUUUUCUGCUUAUUUUGUUAAAUGUAAAAAAAAAAAAAAAAACUUACUUACCAAAAAUAGUAGAUGGUGCUAAUUCUUUAGUUAAACAGUUGCAGCAAAUUAUUUAGAAAAAUAUGGCGUACUUGCAAAUAUGUAAUAAUUGCUCAUGGGUAACAAUAAACAUUGUUUAACCAUGA
Molecule: long non-coding RNA, 1157 nt
Organism: Limulus polyphemus (Atlantic horseshoe crab)
Lineage: Eukaryota; Metazoa; Arthropoda; Merostomata; Xiphosura; Limulidae
Exons: 3
Source: RefSeq, a predicted model, not a curated record